Molecule: non-coding RNA, 152 nt
Filed under: Staphylococcus aureus
Lineage: Bacteria; Bacillati; Bacillota; Bacilli; Caryophanales; Staphylococcaceae
Description: Small pathogenicity island RNA X
Rfam family: Small pathogenicity island RNA X
About the family: In this study the authors identified a SprX target, stage V sporulation protein G (Spo VG). By reducing Spo VG expression levels, SprX affects S. aureus resistance to the glycopeptide antibiotics.
Source: RNAcentral
ACACAUGCAUCAACUAUUUACAUCUAUCCUUGUUCAUCCAAGCAUGUCACUGGGUGUUUUUUUUCUUACGAUAGAGAGCAUAGUUUUCAUACUACUCCCCGUAGUAUAUAUGACUUUAGCAUUCCCGUAUAACAGUUUACGGGGUGCUUUUU